CAACUAUCAAAGGGAUUCACAGGCUUUAAAAAGAUGAGCCAUUAAUGAAGGCAUCUCUAUAUCGGCUUCAAAUUGAUGUUUUAAAUCUUAGUUGACUCCUAGGCAUUCAAGUAUGAGGCGAAGGGGAUCAUCAUUUUUAUUAAAAGAGAAAUCCCCAAAUCAGAACUGGUUUAAUUCCAACCUAAUUUUGGCUACUUAAGCCAUCUGGACAGUGGGAUUUAAUCUCACGACAUGCACACACAGAUGUGCAAUGACGUAUAUGUAAGGCGAACUCUUCACAACAAAUCUAUGCCUCAGUGCUUUGGCCUCAUCCUUCCCUGAUGCAGUCUGCCUGCACUAGAAACAAGAUAACACCUGUUAUUCUCUCGCCACGUGUUAGGGACUCUGAGUCAGAGGUUACAAACGGAAUUGAAUAUUUUGGGAAGUUCUCAACCUCUCAUCUUACAUUUGGCCACGGAAUGCGUGCAGGAAAUAAAACAACCAAAAUGAAUCAAGAGCCCAGCCUAGAUGGGGCACAUCAAGGGAAAUCCUGGCUCUCAGGAGGGUGACAGCUCCUGUGUCAGCCACACUGCUGUUGUGUGCGUAGCAGAAGGAAAGCACACCCACCCUGAACUGCAUCCCACGCAGCCCACACCAACUCUGCCUGUCCAUGCACUGCCCAACCACACCUGCAGUUAGCAUAUUCAUCAGUGUUCCUGGUGUUUCCUGGUGAUGGAAGGCCCUGAGGUGCUCCAUUUCAGAGGUAGGCUCUGCCACCUAUAGCUCUUCUUGAGCCCAUCUAUUUUCUCCCAUUCCAAUGUACACCUUUUGAUGCAUGCAAUGAAUUUUCUGCUUUCUGUGCAGUCAUUAGAGGGAGAGACCCCACAUUAGGAAAAUGACCAUCGCAAUAAGCAUGCCUAUUGGCUACCUUAAUUAGAAACAGGAACGUGGGCCUGAGACCAGAACAAUUGCACAGAGUCCUGCCCUCAAGAGGGUUGUCCUUGGAAUUUUGUAUUCUGUGGUUGUCAUCUUGAUAUUCUUAAUCUUUGGCUUUGUGUUUUGUAAAUAAAAUUUGAUGAGACAGGGAAGCAAGCACUGAGGCUGAGGGCUUGGAGAUUUGGUUUACACAGGGUCCUCUUCGGGACAUAUUCUUGGCCUUCCUACUCUCUGGAGUUCUGGGUCCUGCUCGGCCUCCUCCUCCUCCCUGCCCCCACCUAGCAACUGCCCCUGGUGGGGACCUAGGCACAGGCAUGGAGAUGGUCAGAUGUCCCAAGGCAGAAGCACCAUGGUGCAUUGGUGGGGUGACUUGGUGGAGGUGAGCCUCUUACCUGCCUUGACUGCAUGUUACAGGGGUGACAAUACCUAGGGGGCCAUCCAUCUGCCUGGGUCAGGGGAAGUGGAUCCAGGGAAGUGAGGGGGAUCAUGGUAGCCAGUGCACAUGCUCACACUCUGAAGACCUCUGUGGGCUUGUAAGGGUCUGCACUGGCCCUGCGGGCAGUGACACUAAAUAGGAACUAUAAAACACCAUAACAGAUCGAAAGGGAGUGGAGUAGGGGGAGAAACGCUUGAUACUUUAAUUCCUAACACUGCUCCCUGCUUUCUGCACAGGGGCCCCCACAAUUUUACUAUGAACUGGGCCCGAAAA
RNAcentral lists this long non-coding RNA (1624 nucleotides) under Rhinopithecus bieti (black snub-nosed monkey). RNAcentral's name for it is "lncRNA (ENSRBIG00000046777.1)". The record is from RNAcentral. Lineage: Eukaryota; Metazoa; Chordata; Mammalia; Primates; Cercopithecidae.